UAUAGAAUGCAAUUGAUGUGUUGUAUUUGAGUGUGCGGCAAAGCAAUGGAGCGCAUCAUAGUGCAUCGCACUUAUUGGCCACUAGCAGAUUCUUCUGCGACCAGAACAGCCGGCUGAACGAGCUGAUGGCCGAGACCAAGACCACGGAGUAAAGAACACUCAUUGUUAUGUAUUCUGUGCCAAGACCGAGAUAUCGCUGGCUCCCCCCUCCACUGGCAAGGACCAGAUAGCUAUAGCUGGUGACAAGGAGGGAGUGCAAGCUGCCAAGGACCACAUCAUGGCUGUCUACAACGAAAUGCACUGACGAUGAUAUAGGAGAAGGCGAACAGCGUAGUGGAGCAGUACCUAGACGUGCCCUCCUAGAUCCACCGACAUCUGAUCGGCAAAAAGGGCGCCGACAUUCUCAAGACAAAGGAGGACAGCCCCAAGGUCUAUUUCGAAAAGAACAAGGACCGCCAGGAGAAGGACAAUCGUAUCAGAAUAGAAGGU
RNAcentral lists this long non-coding RNA (489 nucleotides) under Nilaparvata lugens (brown planthopper). RNAcentral describes it as "uncharacterized LOC120355875, transcript variant X2". Lineage: Eukaryota; Metazoa; Arthropoda; Insecta; Hemiptera; Delphacidae. The record is from RNAcentral.